UGUGUUACAAGUGUCACACGGAACUGCCGGUCAUAAACCGGAGGAAGGUGGGAUGACGUCAAGUCAGCAUCGACCUUUAUAUCCUGGGCUACACACACGCUACAAUGGGAAGGGACAAUAGGUUGCGAAGCCGCGAGGCGGAGCCAAUCCAGACAAAACUUCCCCUCAGUUCAGAUUGCAGGCUGCAACUCGCCUGCAUGAAGUUGGAGUUGCUAGUAAACGCAGGUCAGCCAUACUGCGUUGAAUACGUUCCCGGGGCUU
RNAcentral lists this ribosomal RNA (261 nucleotides) under uncultured Anaerolineaceae bacterium. Its description in RNAcentral is "partial 16S ribosomal RNA". It matches the Rfam family "Bacterial small subunit ribosomal RNA", at positions 1111 to 1382 of the family's 1533-position model. Lineage: Bacteria; Bacillati; Chloroflexota; Anaerolineae; Anaerolineales; Anaerolineaceae. The record is from RNAcentral.